GCGGGGUAGAGCAGUCUGGUAGCUCGUCGGGCUCAUAACCCGAAGGUCAAGGGUUCAAAUCCAUUCCCCGCUA
This 73-nucleotide transfer RNA is filed under the name Bulboplastis apyrenoidosa. Its description in RNAcentral is "tRNA-Met". It matches the Rfam family "tRNA". From Rfam's summary of the family: Transfer RNA (tRNA) molecules are approximately 80 nucleotides in length. Lineage: Eukaryota; Rhodophyta; Rhodellophyceae; Dixoniellales; Dixoniellaceae. The record is from RNAcentral.